Molecule: ribosomal RNA, 486 nt
Filed under: uncultured bacterium
Lineage: Bacteria
Description: partial 16S ribosomal RNA
Rfam family: Bacterial small subunit ribosomal RNA
Source: RNAcentral
AUUGAACGCUGGCGGCAUGCCUUACACAUGCAAGUCGAACGGCAGCACGGGUGCUUGCACCUGGUGGCGAGUGGCGAACGGGUGAGUAACACAUCGGAACAUGUCCUGUAGUGGGGGAUAGCCCGGCGAAAGCCGGAUUAAUACCGCAUACGAUCUACGGAUGAAAGCGGGGGACCUUCGGGCCUCGCGCUAUAGGGUUGGCCGAUGGCUGAUUAGCUAGUUGGUGGGGUAAAGGCCUACCAAGGCGACGAUCAGUAGCCGGUCUGAGAGGACGACCAGCCACACUGGGACUGAGACACGGCCCAGACUCCUACGGGAGGCAGCAGUGGGGAAUUUUGGACAAAGGGCGAAAGCCUGAUCCAGCAAUGCCGCGUGUGUGAAGAAGGCCUUCGGGUUGUAAAGCACUUUUGUCCGGAAAGAAAUCCUUGGCCCUAAUACGGUCGGGGGAUGACGGUACCGGAAGAAUAAGCACCGGCUAACUACGUG